GAUGAACGCUGGCGGCGUGCCUAAAACAUGCAAGUCGAGCGAACAGAUGAGGAGCUUGCUCCUCUGACGUUAGCGGCGGACGGGUGAGUAACACGUGGAUAACCUACCUAUAAGACUGGGAUAACUUCGGGAAACCGGAGCUAAUACCGGAUAAUAUAUUGAACCGCAUGGUUCAAUAGUGAAAGACGGUUUUGCUGUCACUUAUAGAUGGAUCCGCGCCGCAUUAGCUAGUUGGUAAGGUAACGGCUUACCAAGGCAACGAUGCGUAGCCGACCUGAGAGGGUGAUCGGCCACACUGGAACUGAGACACGGUCCAGACUCCUACGGGAGGCAGCAGUAGGGAAUCUUCCGCAAUGGGCGAAAGCCUGACGGAGCAACGCUGCGUGAGUGAUGAAGGUCUUCGGAUCGUAAAACUCUGUUAUUAGGGAAGAACAAAUGUGUAAGUAACUAUGCACGUCUUGACGGUACCUAAUCAGAAAGCCACGGCUAACUACGUG
Molecule: ribosomal RNA, 497 nt
Filed under: uncultured bacterium
Lineage: Bacteria
Description: partial 16S ribosomal RNA
Rfam family: Bacterial small subunit ribosomal RNA
Source: RNAcentral